Molecule: ribosomal RNA, 440 nt
Filed under: uncultured bacterium
Lineage: Bacteria
Description: partial 16S ribosomal RNA
Rfam family: Bacterial small subunit ribosomal RNA
Source: RNAcentral
CCUACGGGUGGCAGCAGUAGGGAAUCUUGCGCAAUGGGCGAAAGCCUGACGCAGCAACGCCGCGUGAUCGAGACGCCCUUCGGGGUGUAAAGAUCUGUCAGUGGGGACGAACCUUGACCGUACCCACAGAGGAAGCACCUGCUAACUCCGUGCCAGCAGCCGCGGUAAUCCGGGGGGUGCAAGCGUUGGCCGGAAUCAUUGGGCGUAAAGUGUUCGUAGGCGGCACGUCAAGGCUGGUGUGAAAGGCAGAGGCUCAACUUCUGUACGGCACUGGAUACUUGCGAGCUAGAAUGCGGUAGAGGUAAAGGGAAUUCCUGGUGUAGCGGUGAAAUGCUUAGAUAUGAGGAGGAACAUCGGUGGCGUAAGCGCUUUACUGGGCCGUAAUUGACGCUGAGGAACGAAAGCGAGGGUAGCAAAUGGGAUUAGAUACCCGAGUAGUC